CUGGAUAGGACGAAUUAACUCUGUUAAAAUGAACGUCCUCCCGAGGAUUUUAUUCUUGUUCCAAGCUCUCCCAGUCCACGUCACCAAAGCACAACUGAACCCGCUACAAGGGUCGAUAGCUGACUUCAUAUGGCAGAACAAGAGGCAUAGGAUAUCAAGACAGAUGCUCUAUAGACGAAAAGAAAGAGGGGCGCUGGGCCUCCCAAAUCUAUACUUCUAUUAUCUUGCAGCUCAACUAACACAGGUAGCUAUGUGGCAUUCCCCUCCGGAAGAGCGGAGAUGGGUCGAGAUAGAAUCCAUGAUGGUGGGAUGGGAC
Molecule: non-coding RNA, 316 nt
Organism: Pelobates cultripes (western spadefoot toad)
Lineage: Eukaryota; Metazoa; Chordata; Amphibia; Anura; Pelobatidae
Source: the annotation of a GenBank genome assembly